This is a long non-coding RNA of Loxodonta africana (African savanna elephant), 6141 nucleotides long. RefSeq lists it as uncharacterized. The record is from RefSeq and is a predicted model, not a curated record. The transcript has 3 exons. Lineage: Eukaryota; Metazoa; Chordata; Mammalia; Proboscidea; Elephantidae.
GCUGGGAAGGCGCGGUUGGCUGAAUUUGCUGCUCGCCGACCUGCGCAACCAUAAAAAGUAAUGUGUGCGCGCCGUGCGUCUAAAGAGAAGGUGCACGCUCCCUGAGUCCAGUAGUUCGGUUACAUGCCGAACGAGGUACUUCUUGAUAAGUCUCCUUCAACGUGAAGGACUUGUAUCCUACGAAAGCAUCUCCAAAUAAGAUGGACGAUGGCCUCUUGGGCACAGGAGAACCGGGUGGUUGCAAAAGACAGUUUAUUCCAUGGUUUCGUUUCGUGUUUGUUUUAGUAUCAAUGGUUCAGUUUACUGAAGGAGGGGGAGCUAACAGGCAAGUGAUAUCUGAGAAUACACAUAAAUAUAGUCUAUGACAUGAUGAAAAUAUACAUCACUUUUUUGAUGCUAUUAUAUUGUUUGUACCCUGUUUCCCUAUGACAAAUGCAAGCUCCUUGGAGGCAGGAACUUGGGUCCUAGAGUUGAUGGAGUCUCCCCACAGUAACUAACGUUCCCUUGUAAUUUGAAAGUGUAAUGAGUGUAAAUUCAAAGACUGAUGAGUCUUUGGGAAUGUCAGUCCCUCCCUUUGGCUUAUUUCUCAUAGAUAGAUAAGCCACCUUGCAAAAAGGGCAGCAUGUAGAAGACAAUUCAAAGGCUACAUCACGAACAGGUAAACUUGUAUGCUUCUUACUUAAAUACCCUGAAUAGAAUUAAAUUUUAGAGUUGACUUUAAAAAUGGUAUUAAUCUUUCUGUUUUUCAGUUAGCAUUUCUCCCUCUCCCCUUCCCCCCCAAAAUUAUUACUCAGAACUCAUUAUCAGUAAUAAAUACAUAGAAUAUCCUUACAUACAGCUGUUCCAUCCCUUCUUUCUCACCAUAUUUCAAAGGGAAAGUGCUGUAAAUCGUGCGUACCUUUCUCCACUUGGAAGAAGUCAUCGUGUUCACGCAGAGGAGAGUAUGCAACACAACAUAAAGAUCAGGAACUGAAGAAGGACCUCUGGUGGCUGCGACUGUUAAGUGCGCACCUGCUCACCAAAAGAGACUCCAGGAACUAAAGUUUAGGAGCCAGUCAAGGCAGGACAUCUCUCACGAAAUUCACCUUUCAGCCUCCUUUUCUUCUUUGCUCUCUACAGAGGGUGCUUCAGGUAAGAACCUGGCCAUACUGUUUCCCUGAAGUAAAGGAUGAAAUCCCAAUCCCCAGUAUGGUCUACCAUAUUCCCCAUGUCUGGGUCCUGAGCUGUUUCAGUAACCUUGUCUCUCUCUCUCUCUCUGCUGUCUGUUCCAUUUCUCUAGAAUGUCUUCCUUCCCUGGGGGUCAGAAAAACUGGAAUUUUUUAAGAUUCAGCUCAGAUGCCACCUUUUGUAUGACGCUUUCCCCAAGGUAGAAUAGACUAAUCUUUUUGCCACUUCUCUAAACCUAAACAAGCUCUGUUUGUUUUAUUGCAUACAUGCAUUUAUUGCAUUUACUUCAGUGAGAUCCCUGAAGGCAAGGACUGGUCAAGCAUCAUUACAGGUUACGCAGCUACUAGAUCUCAGCAUCGUAACCAGGGGCAGAUUAUCCAAUAGACAAAGUAAACAAGGUGCUUACCUUGCUUACCAGAUCACUUGUAGUAAGCAAUUUCAUUGUAGUGAAAUUGUUCACUACAGAUUAGUAAAUAAGCACAAAUAAGCCUGUGCUUGCUUGUGCAUACUGGGUAAUCCACCCCUGUCAGGGACUGUAAAUUUGAAAAGUGGCUUUGAUUCUGUAGGAAGGUGCAGUGGGGUUGGAAGAGAGACAGAUACCAGCCAUACCUAGAAGCAGAAUCUUUGAUGUGGUAAAAAAAGAAAAAAGUGAAAUUGUUCACUACCGAUGCUUUGGUAAGUGAGGUAAACGCUAUGCUUACCUUACCUAUUAGAUGAUCCGCCCCUGAUUGGAACCCGGUAUUUGUAACAAUGGUGACCAAACCAGACCAAGACUCUUCGUCAGAAAACAGAUGUUCAUCAAAUCACAUCAUAAAGGAAAAGCACAGGGAAAGAUGAAAGCAUUGAGCAAGGAAGCCAAAUAGAUUGUGGGAAGUUCGGGUGGGAGGCAACCUUGGGAGUCAGGAAAGGCCCCCUUGAGUGUUGCUAUGGAUUGAAUCGUGUCCCCCAAAAAUAUGUGCUGGAAUUCCAGCCUUUAUACCUGUGGAUGUGAUCCUGUUUGGAAUUAAGGUUUUCUUUGUUAUGUUAGUUAGAUCAUACAGGAGUAGGCUUGGUUCUAGAUGUAAUCACUUCUGGCUUAUGAAAAGAGCAGAUUAGACAGGAAGACGGGCACGGCAGAGCCAACAAACCAGGGAACACCGACGAGGAAGGAAUCAGCUCAGCAGCCGAGACCGUGAUUUGGGCUUUUAGCCUUCAGAACUGUGAGAAAAUAAAUUUCUGUUUCUGUUACAGCAGCACUAGCUAACUAAAACACGCACGGAGAUUUGUGUAUGUGUACGUGCGUUCGUUUUCAUAAAGUAGAAUCACAUAGAUAACUUUUUAGUUUUUCUGCUCAUUAUCAUUAUAGAUUUUAAUUAAUCACCUAGUUUUCUCAACCUUAAACUGUAUCUAUUGACAGUCCACUAAAGAAGGUGAAGAAAUUAAAUGAUAUUUGCAGUGUAAGUUUUAUAACUGGUUUUUGUUUGUAUUUGUAAUGGAAUUACUUGUUACUACACUUCCCUCCCCCGUGCCACAGGAUUGGGGUGGUUAUAUUGCUGUGUCGGUUAGUGGGCUGGCCACUGGCUUCCCAAGAGUAGCUCUACCUUGAAUGGCGAUUGAUAUUUUUGUCUAUAUUAGUGAGUAAAACAAUGAGGGAAAAACACUGCACUCCUUCUACCUGCUUUCCUUAUGCGCAAACCAGGCAAACAGGAUGUGGUGACUGGGGUAUGGGGCAGAGUUGAAGACCUGAGGGGCAGAAGGAUGGCCUGAACCAAGAGCCGGUUAUAAGAAGUGGAACAGAUUUGACUGAGGAAGGAGGCUGACGGAAAGAAGCUUCGAACAGCUGGACUUUAAGGUAUACAUUUUAAAGGUGUAGUCGGCGCGGGAAAUACAGAUCUGGAACUCAAGAGAUAUGUCAAAGCUAAGAGUAUAAAUUUAGAAAUCAUUUAUUUAAUCAUUAGAGUAAUAUUUACUGAAGCCCUGCAGUGUCCUAGGUGGACACACUUUUAAGCAACAGGGAUGCAACAAUGAGCAAAUAAAUCCCUAACCUCAUGCUUCCAUUCUAGUGGAGGAAGCCACACAAUAAAUAGACAAGUGAUAUAUAAAUUCAGGUAAUGAAUCAGGUAAAGAUAAAAACACAGUUUCCAGCCAGUCAACCCUGAAUCCUGGUGAUCCCAUGUGUGUCGGAGUAGAACUGUGAUCCACAGGGUUUUCAGUGGUUGAUUUUCCAGAAUUAGAUCACCAGGCCUUUCUUCUGAGGUACCUCCGGGUGGACUCAAGUCUCCAGCCUUUCGGUUAGCAGCUGAGGGUGUUAGCAGUUUGGACCACCCAGGGAUUCCCAAGUAGGGAUAACACACUACUGACAAAGGAGGAAGGCUGGGCAUGAUAACAAAGUAAAGGAGAAAGGCUGGCUAUAGAGCUCCUUCCUGCGAUGCGAUAUUUGAGCAGAGACAGGAGUGAAAUGCAGGAAGAUGAGAUUAUAUGAGAAGAAAAGAGGACCAGAGCAACUGGUGCAGUCUACGCUUUCACCAUCUUUGACCUGGAUUAGUACAACCACCUCCUAUUUGGUAUCCUUCCUCUAGUUUCUCUCUUCUCCAGUCCAUUCCCCAAUCCAGCACAAAAUCAGAUUUGGAAUUGGUGUCUGUUUUGUUUACUGCUGGAUCUCAGGGCCUGGAAGAGGAUCUGACACAGAACAAGUGGUCAGUAAAUAUGAAUGCAUGGCGAAAGGAAGGAAGGAAUAGCUAGAAAUUACCGAAAAGGAAAUAAGCUCAAACAUUAUUCAUAGUUCUAACGCCCCAAUACAAGCAAAUUUUUGGACACUGCCAUUAAUAUAAGGCUGUUUCCUAUGAUUGCAAUUAGCCUGUAGGUACAAUUGGAAAUCCUGAUUUUCCUGUGUAUCAUUUCAUAGGAUUUUUCAACAUUAUCAUGAAAUAAGAUUGUUUCUAAUAGCUGUAUGAUAUUCCAUGGAGAAGGCAUAUUCUAGGUCACUAAUCCUAUUGCUAUUCAUGUGGAUAUUUUAAUUUUUCAAAACUAUACACACUUCAGUAAUUUGUGCAGGACAUCUAUGAUCACAAUGCUGAGGAGAAAUGUUGGGAAAAUGACGUGCUCCAGGGAAUGUUUAGCUGAGCCUUUGGCUCAUCAAGUGCAGGACAGAAAGAGUCAAAAUUUAGUCCCUUCCUUUACAGUGAGUCCAAAGUCAAUAAGAAAUGGGGAGUCCUGGGACCACCCUUCGAGCUUAGUUCACAGAGAUGGGCAAAUGACAUGGUUUUAUGAAACAUUUGAGACUCCACAGGACAGGGCAGAACACGAUUCUACCCUCUCUCAACACCCCUGCUUUAACCUGCCCUGGAGGCCGUUUCACCCCCUCUUCCCGAGUGGAGUGCUGGGCAUGGUUCCCAGCUUCCCAGUUACUCUUAGAUGAUAAACAAUCAUUGUCCAGUCACCUUCGGUCACUAAAGGAGACUCAGUCAAGUCACUGAAAAUCCUGUGCAGGCAAAUAGUCAACACUCCAGUCUAGUCCAACGUAAAAAUUCUUAAAUAGCAACUGGGCUACCUUCAUUCUUGUCAGUUCUCAGCCACACACAUCGUGUCAACUCAGUCUGGAGGCACAGAAGAAAGCUGAGAACUUCUUCCCCCGAAGCAAAGCUCAGGGACUCUUACGGAAUGGAACAGAUCUAAUAGCAUGUCUUUCAUCAGAGGCGAUCAGUCAAUUAGCAUGUGGAGAAUGCUUACCAGCUAUGUAACGGACAAAAUUACAACAAAUGAUUACUCCUUUUUUAUUUUUUAAAUGAGUCAGUGCAAUCGUUUUGCUUUAAAACUAAAAAUGUGAUGAUAUUGUGUGUGUGCAAUUCAGUUAAAUCCUAAAGAAUGAGUAAAAACCAUAAGCCAAACUGAGACAGGGGAAGAUUUUUAAGGCAGAGGAAACAAUCCCUGCAAAAUCAUGAAGUCAAAAAAUUGCACCAUGGUUAAGGAACUUCCAGUAGUUUCAUAUGAUAAAAAUGGAGGGUAGAAUUCAUGUAAGAGUGUAGAAAAAGAUGUCACUGGAGAAGUUUGCAGGAAUAUGGUCAUGAGUUCUCCUUUUGUCACAUGAAGGAAAUGAGGAGCCAUGUCAGAUUUUAGGCAAGAUUACUAGGUAAUCGUAAUUGCAUUUACGCUUCCUCAGGCAGCAACACUGAGGAUGAAUUGGAAGGAGACGAGACUUAAAAUAGGAACAAAACAAAACAAAAAAUGGUUAUCAGUGAAAUUAAGUAGGAUUUAACAACUUGAACUUCCUCGAAAGAAUGGCCUAGCAAUCUACUUCUAAAAGAUCCUAGCUACUGAAAACUCUAUGGGGCACAAUUCUACUCUUGACACAUAUGGGAGUGCCAUGAGUCAGAAUCAAUUCAGUGGAAACAAGGCCAUGGUUGACUUAGUUCUGUGCUCCAGAACCUUCAAGAAUUCCCCAAUGAGUGUAGGAUCAAGUUCAAGUCCCAUGACAAUUUAGCCCCUGUCAACCUUCUCAGAUUCAUCUGCAGCCACCCCACCACCCAUACAUAAUACCUGCUAUCUCCACAAUGGAGUGAUAAUAAUAUGUAACAUUCAUUGAGUACUUAACCAUGUUCCAGGCAUCUACUAAAAGCCUUAUGGAAUUUAGCUCAUUUUAUCUUCCCAACAACCCCAUGAGGUAUACAAGCCCUCAAUUUUCAGAUAAGAAAAAUGAGACUAAACAGCUUCCCUACAGUCACACAGCUAUAAAUGGGAGAGCCAGGAUUUGAACCAAGGUAGUCCAACAACAGGGCCCAAGCAUUUAAAUAGUAAAAUGUACUACUUAUAUUGCCUAGAUAUCCCCAUGUACUACACCUGAGUUGUCACCACCUGCCUCUCCAUCUAAUAAACUCCUAAGUCCUAGUUCAAGAGUUACCCUUCUCUCAGCCCUCCCAACUCUUCCAGGCUAUUGCUUUGCAUAUAACUUGUUUGCACAUUGUUAUUAUAGCAUGUAUCACAUUUUUGGGGGAAAAA